Long non-coding RNA from Oncorhynchus tshawytscha (Chinook salmon), 5176 nucleotides. RefSeq lists it as uncharacterized. NCBI's taxonomy places the organism in Eukaryota, Metazoa, Chordata, Actinopteri, Salmoniformes, Salmonidae. The transcript has 13 exons. The record is from RefSeq and is a predicted model, not a curated record.
UGCUUGCUCGUCAAUGCAACUGCCACCUAGUGGUCACAUUGAAAAUAGCCACUAUCAACCAACCCGCAGUUCUACAGGACCAAGCGUCUCAUCUCUUGAUUUGAGCGCAACUUCAUUGGGGAAGAACUGUGUAGAAUUUGGGGUAAAAACUCUCACAUGUUCCGUCCAGAUUCAACAACCAUUUACCCUGGACAAAUAUGUGUCUGGAGUAUUAAUAUUCUAUAAGUUAUUUAGAUAACAGUUUUUGGAGAAGAACAAGGUCGGGACGGGGUGUUGUUUUCGUUGAUCUAUCCAACGCCCAGUGUAUCCCCGCCCCUCUGGCCACACCCAUCCCUGUUAGCGAUGAGCCCAGUGGCCACGCCCUGUGCUGACCUAAUCAGAUAGCCCCAGUACAGGCCUGCCCCGCAUGCCCUACUCUGUCCCCGUGUCGGAGCACAUGGAGGAGUGCAGCGUGAUCCCUGACGAUCUGGACAGCCUGCUUGGGGGAUGACUGCAUCUCCGAGAAAGUCAGCGAGUCACAGAGCCCAGUCCAAGGUGCUAUCCCCACCAACCUCCCCAACACAGCUGUGGGCCUGCACCCUCCAUACUCCUCCAGCCCCCUCACCCCAGCUACCCCCUGCCUUCUUCAGCUUCACUGUCAGCCAGAUGUCCGCUCUGGAGACCUACCCCUCGCUGGGCCAGAGGGACCAGACCUCCACACAGGUGCUGGAUGCCCUGGGGGCCUUUUCCCCGGAGGCUGGGGACACAGAGGGCAAAGGAGGGGCUGGAAUUGGAGGGCUGGACUCCCUCUCUGAGUACAUCUUGCCUGACAUAUGAACAAGGUGUAUGGAUCCGGGUGUGUGUUUUGGUGAUGUCAAUUAUAUUGAAAACAGCAAAGCCAUUGUAGCAGGCUUUUUUUUUUCUCUAUCCAGUCUUAUUUUGCAACCAUACAGUUUAAACCUGCAUCAGCUGUUACUUAAACCUUCCCGGAACUGCCCAGUGACCCUGAACAGUCCUCUGGGAAUGUGUUUGUUGAAGCUAGUUUGUGUCAGCAGCACUGCUGUAUGGCCACAUGGUGUCUGGUAUCCCUGUGUCCUUGUGUUGCAGUUCUGUUCUCCAGGGGGAAGAAUUUCUCACAGUAUCAUCUCUGGGAUCUACAAACACAGCUCCCCUCACACAGUUUGUGGGAUAUGGACUACCAGUACCAGGCAGAAGCAGCUCACCGCUGUAAGAGGGACCUGCUGCUGUCUCGCUUCAAGAACAAAGAAGACCCCACCAAAAUAACUUCCUGGGGGCCUUUGUGUUUUGCAAAGAGGUCCAGGAGCGCCAGGAAUGCCAGUAUGGGGAGAACUGCACGUUUGCCUACUGCCAGGAGGAAAUAUACCUGUGGACCCAGGAGAGGAAGGGGGCUCUGAGAAGGGAGCUGCCGUUUGACCCGCUGAGCAGCACCGAGAGACGGGCACUCAGCGUCACACUCCUGCUGCAGCAGCACAUGGGCAUGUUCAUGUUCCUCUAUGAGAAUAUUUUGACAGUAAGCCUCCCAUCAUCAGCAAGUGCAGCAAAGAGAACUUGGCUGUCUGCUCAAACCUCACUGCCCGGCAUCCCUUUGAUAAGUGCCUAGUGCAUGUGGUGUGUUCUGCCAACGUGCGCCACAGUAAGGUGCUAUAGCCAGUUUGACAUGUGUCGCCACGAGGUGCGUUACGGCUGCCAGCGCGAGGACAGCUGCUCCUUUGCCCACUCCGUCAUAGAACUCAAGUGCCAGGUAUCACCCAUGAGAUGGUACAGAAGUACAAGAGGCUCCGGUACAGGCUAGAGCAAAAUGCACAGAAACAGAAGCCUGUGCACGUCACAUACCAGAGCUGUGGUGGGGGGAAUAGGGGGAGUGGGAGACAACCUCGGGUGGAGGGGAUGGCACAGGGUUAAAUCUGAAGAUGAGGUUUGUCUGUGGCCAGAUGGAUGGACAUGUCCACAAACCAGACAAGGCCCUCAAGUACUGCACAACAGCUGGACUAAGGAGCGUUGGGUAUUGCUGGUGAAGUCUUUGGAGAAGAAGAAGUUGGUCGUUGUGCGGCCUCUUCUCCCGUGCAUACCCACAGCAGUAUGACGCAGUCAUUUCCAGCAGACCUCUCACAUGCUGAAUACAGCUGAUGUUGUUUACAGCUCUCCUCCUCUCGUCUUUACACCUAUAGGCAGCUUGGCCUUUGUUCCACGUCUCCCUAGAUGUGUGUCCAUGUGAUGAAGCAGAAGAAGUGCCACUGACAUCGGGAACUGUUCCUUCGCCCACAUUCUGGAAGAAAGGGACGUCUGGACGUACAUGAAGAACAACAGCUUGAGGGACAUGCAGCAGAUGUUUGACAUGUGGCUCAGGCUGACCAGUCAGAAUAGACUCACUGAUGCAAGCCUUAUGGCCUUGCCUCUGGAGGAGAAAUGGGUUUCCCUGACGACAGAUUCCACUGAGUCAUUGGUGAGUGGCUUAAGUCAUAGGGGCGGUGGGGUACUAAGGUAACAUGGAACUGUUUUAAGAUGGUCAUUAGCUAUUUGAUUUGUAAUUUUACGACCCCUUUAGGGAUCCCCCAAAAAUAAAAAAUACAGGAUUUGAUAAAAUAUAGAAUUUGGCCUUUUCUACUAUAGCCCAUAGAAACACAUUGAGUAACAGGUUCAUAAAUGGCAAAAAAGACACACUUCAAAACCUUAUGAUUUAUUUUUUGACUAUGUGCCAAAUCUAGGAGAUAUGAGAAAGCUCAGGAAAUAUUUAUGUUUUUCUGGACACAUUUGAUCCCUUACUUAGGCAGUAGAUUGAGACGCAGCCCGUGCAAAAACCCUGAUAGCUCUAGCUUGAACUAAUGGAUUUUGAUGGGGAUUUUUUAUGUUACUUAGAUUUGAUUCACAGCUGUGUCAGUAGACUCCUUAAGGAUUAAAAACAAGUGGUAUAUUCUUUUUAUACAAGCCUUUUCUGAUGUUGGAUGUGGAGAAACCCAUUUUGUGAGUGUCAGUCUGGGCAGAAGGAGGAGAUGUGUGAGUGUUUUCAGGCUGAGGCUGAGCCGCUCCCUGGAGCUGUGGAUAAGUGACCCUGAUCCCACUACACCAGAGACCAGCUACAGUACCUACCGCCUGUGACGAGAGUCUGAAUGCGAACACACACACCCCUUACAGUACGACAAAUUGCUGAUGCAACAGGCACCGCCUUGUGCGAUGCACACACAGAAAGUAAUGUAUAAGAAAAUGCGUGUCCAUAAUCUGAGGGGUUUGACUAAGGUUUGGCUGUUAUUAACUUCAAUCUGAGCCUCAUUGCAUUUCUAGCACGCUGCAGAUGUCACUGUACUGGACGUGUCUGCCCUUCCCCUAUAUUACAGCCCUCAGUCGCCCCUUUACAAAUACGGAGUGGCUGCAUGGCUGAAUUCUCUUGACACCUCUUCCCGAUCGCUAAACAACCAAACAAAUUAGGCUACAAAAUAUAUAUAUUUUUGAAAUGUUAUUUCAAAUCGCUGUGGGUUUUUUAUUUCAGCUGUUCAGAAAUAUGAUGCAGAGAAAUGUGCAGAACGUGUUUAGGUUGUUUAGCUCUGGGGAAGAGGUGUGUCUAAGGGGGUUAAACUGGGCGGUCACUCAGCCUUACCAUUAAGCCCUUAUAUAUGUUGCUAGGGACAAACGUCUUCAACCAAAUCCUUCCCUCCUUUCCUUGUAGGAACGUAGAAAGGUGGAGAGUGAAAUAGGACAGAAAUUGUGAGUACGCCAUUUUGUUUGUCCAUGGUAGUUAGUGCUUAACUCUAUUUGUCUGCAAUAUUGGUAGAGGACUAUGAAUGUAAAGCCAGUCAAUGCCAUAAUGAGAAAGCCAUCAAAUUAUAUAUGGUUGUGGAAUGUAUUCGGAAUACCCAAGACAAAUCUUAUAUAACAUUUAAAAUGAACCCCUACCCCACCUAUCCUCCCCUUUAUUGAUAGAAAUUGCAUAGCAGUCUUUUGGUUACAUAAGCAAGUCAGGCAACCCAACCUGUGGUCAGCACUGACAUGUAUACGCAUUCACAUACAUAUGCACUGAGCAGGCUCAGAAUGGAACACCGUGUUUCAUAAUAUGGCAUUGACAUUGGAGGACUAUAGGGGUCAAAGUGACUGUAGCAGUUCAGCUUCAGUUCUCGCAGACUCUUCACUCGGACCCACUCAAACAUACUGUGCCGUAUGCUUAGAGCCUAGAGUUUUUGUGGACCACAUGAACAAGUCCUGGUUUGUCUUGGUCAGUAGGGCUGGCACAAUUACAGCAUAAUCCUGAAACCGACGAACCAUUGUUGUUAUUAUUUUUCACAACCGUUUUGUUUUUAUUUACGAACGACUGACUGAAGACGGGACAGUCGGUUAUUCGUGUGGUUGAGUCGGUUUCUGCGGCAACACGGACUCUUCACAACGUGAUGAAUCUUUGUUGCUCCUUGCUGAAACAAGCAAGUUGUUGUAGCAAACAAGUAUUUGGUUGCCUAGGCAAUGCCCCCACCCUGCAGUCGGGAGAGGAGACAACUUGCAGUCAGGAGGAGAGGAGAAAAUGUGCCUCUUAAAAUCCCCAAAAAAGACCAAUAACCAUCAUCCAAAAUUCCAUGAUUGUCACAGCCCUCCUGGUCAGGUGACGUGGCUUCAUUUGGCAUGUGGACCACCAGUUUAACUAGGAUAACGUGAAGUUACCUUUGCCACAUUAGCCCUCAAAUGUAAACCUACGCUGAUUAAUCAAGGGAAAACUGAUUGUCUGGGAUGAGGUGUCAGAGUUCAUGAAAAGAUGAUAAGCACGAUAUCAAUGAAGACAUAAAAAGUAAAUGAAAAGUAAGGUAGGACUACCCAUAAUUUACACUUAAAGGUACGUUUUUAGCCUAGUCUUAAAUUUAGAUGUGUGUGUAUAUACAUACAUGCAUACUGUGACGGCCCUGAAUUUUAUGAACCGUCUCAGUGCUUCUCCUUCCAAUAGGGCGCUUCCCCUUCAAUUGCCAAUUAAAUAGGGCUUUUCCUUCCAAUAGGGUGCUUUCCCUUUAAUUCCCAAUUAAAUAGCCAGCAUCAGCUGCGCAAAAGUGGGGUUGUGAUGGAGACGUGAAUGAGGAUGUUUUCAACCCUCAGUCCUGAAGCUUCUCUAUUCUGUUUGUUUUGUUGCAUUUAAAUGUGUGUUUUGUAGCCUAAUAGAGUUUACCCAGGAUCGGAUCCACUCUUUGUGUCUGUGGACUACACCUCU